Molecule: small RNA, 304 nt
Filed under: Arabidopsis thaliana (thale cress)
Lineage: Eukaryota; Viridiplantae; Streptophyta; Magnoliopsida; Brassicales; Brassicaceae
Description: ATSL153340
Source: RNAcentral
UUGUUAUAAAGGCCCUGAAUGGAUGCUGUAUUUCGAUUCAGUUUUUGGAUUUAGAUUUUAGUUUAUAGAUUUUAGAUUUUCGUUUUAGAUUUUUGAUAUUAUAUUUUUGUUUCAAAACCCAAAAAAAAGUUAGUUUUUGGUUUUUGAGAAAAAUAACGUUAAUUAAGUAAAAAUUAAAUUUUCUAAAUUUUAGGAAAACUAAAAAACUAAAAUCAUGAAUGGCAAACUCCAACAAAAUUGUUUUUCUAAAUUGUAGGGAAACCAAAAUUUUAAAAUCUUGAAUGGUAUAAAAAUAAGUUUUUGA